UGUGUCGUGUGCGGACAUCAUCGC
This 24-nucleotide non-coding RNA is filed under the name Arabidopsis thaliana (thale cress). Lineage: Eukaryota; Viridiplantae; Streptophyta; Magnoliopsida; Brassicales; Brassicaceae. The record is from RNAcentral.